GAGGAAUAUUGGUCAAUGGCCGGAAGGCUGAACCAGCCAAGUCGCGUGAGGGAAUAAGGCCCUAUGGGUCGUAAACCUCUUUUGUCAGGGAGCAAAGGCGUCCACGUGUGGACUAAAUGAGAGUACCUGAAGAAAAAGCAUCGGCUAACUCCGUGCCAGCAGCCGCGGUAAUACGGAGGAUGCGAGCGUUAUCCGGAUUUAUUGGGUUUAAAGGGUGCGUAGGCGGAGUGUCAAGUCAGCGGUAAAAUUUCGGAGCUCAACCCCGUCGUGCCGUUGAAACUGACACUCUUGAGUGAGUGAGAAGUAAGCGGAAUGCGUGGUGUAGCGGUGAAAUGCAUAGAUAUCACGCAGAACGCCGAUUGCGAAGGCAGCUUACCGGCGCUCAACUGACGCUGAGGCACGAAAGUGCGGGUAUCGAACA
Molecule: ribosomal RNA, 421 nt
Filed under: uncultured bacterium
Lineage: Bacteria
Description: bacterial SSU rRNA
Rfam family: Bacterial small subunit ribosomal RNA
Source: RNAcentral